UCCUUGAUAAAUUUAAGCGUUUUAUAAGAGGAUGCCGGGGAAGGUUUUCCGGUUUAUCCCGGAGGGCUUGUAGCUCAGUUGGUUAGAGCGCGCGCUUGAUAAGCGUGAGGUCGGAGGUUCAAGUCCUCCCAGGCCCACCAGUUUAUCCAUUACUUUCAUAAGUGCUUUUAAAAAAUAAGUACUUCUAAAAAGAUUGCUUCUAAAAAGCUUAUCAAAAUUGGCAGGCUUAUUGCUUUUGUGUGAGUAAUCCAAAGUUAAAGCAAAUUAAUGGCAAAAAAACAGUUCAAAUGCUAAAUACUAAGGAGUCAAAAUUCCUUGCAAAGUGAUUUUUACAGCGUCCAUUUGGUUGAUAUAAAUUCCAAAUGCUCAUAGACGUCAAUGCCUAUAUGAAACUAUCGGUUCAAUCAUAUCGCUUUGAGUUAUAUAGAUUUUGUAAUCCCUCUUUUGAUCGUUUUAAACGCUUUAUUCUGAUUUAGGGGCCGUAGCUCAGCUGGGAGAGCACCUGCUUUGCAAGCAGGGGGUCGUCGG
This 528-nucleotide unclassified non-coding RNA is filed under the name Bartonella henselae. RNAcentral's name for it is "partial 16S-23S ribosomal RNA intergenic spacer". The stretch from base 64 to 137 matches the Rfam family "tRNA". Lineage: Bacteria; Pseudomonadati; Pseudomonadota; Alphaproteobacteria; Hyphomicrobiales; Bartonellaceae. The record is from RNAcentral.